This 468-nucleotide ribosomal RNA is filed under the name uncultured bacterium. Its description in RNAcentral is "partial 16S ribosomal RNA". It matches the Rfam family "Bacterial small subunit ribosomal RNA", at positions 28 to 507 of the family's 1533-position model. The record is from RNAcentral.
GACGAACGCUGGCGGCGUGCUUAACACAUGCAAGUCGAACGGAAAGGCCCUGCUUUUGUGGGGUGCCCGAGUGGCGAACGGGGGAGUAACACGUGAGUAACCUGCCCUGGACUUUGGGAUAACUUCAGGAAACUGGGGCUAAUACCGGAUAGGAGCUCCUGCUCCAGGGUGGGGGUUGGAAAGUUUCGGCGGUUGGGGAGGGACUCGCGGCUUAUCGGCUUGUUGGUGGGGGAGUGGCUUACCAAGGCUUUGACGGGUAGCCGGCCUGGGAGGGUGACCGGCCACAUUGGGACUGCGAUACGGCCCAGACUCCUACGGGAGGAAGCAGUGGGGAAUAUUGCACAAUGGGCGGAAGCCUGAUGCCGCAACGCCGCGUGCGGGAUGACGGCCUUCGGGUUGUAAACCGCUUUCGCCUGUGACGAAGCGUGAGUGACGGUAAUGGGUAAAGAAGCACCGGCUAACUACGUG